AGCCGUAAGCUCCAUUUCCUUCGUUUCCUGUCAAGUUCUUUGUGAUCGGAGAUUCUUUUUAUUUCUUUUCGUGCUGGAUUUGCCUAUGUUCUGGAGUCUUGAGCAUUUUCCAACUUUUUUUUCUUUUUUUUUCCUUUCCCAAUCCUUGAGCUUGAUGAAAGAGAGAUGGAAUUAUGGACUUCAUAUACGAAACACAAUACCCUCAACCGAAGGUACUUUUUUUUUGUGGGAUAUUUUUUCAACUUUUUCAAUUAAAUUUAUCGUGUGAUCUUGAUUUUGAGGGUUUCAAUUCGAAAUUGCUUAAAUGAUUUUUUUCUGCGGAGAGGGAACCUCAAUGUGAUUUUUUUUUUUUUAAUGCAAAUGUAUGUUGAGAGGGGAAAGAGUGUGAAGCAUCUGAUAAUCCUUAUAGCGAAAGCUGAUGUAAUCACUAAAUAUUGGAUGUCUUUCCCAUAUCAAAACAGAAUCUUAAUGCUUGCCUGCCUGCUUCCAUUGUGGCUCGCAAGUUUGGCUUUUCUGUUACAUGCCAUGCUAAUUUUCUUUUUAGGUAGCCAUUUUCCUAGUUUUCUAGUUUACUUGAUCUUUAUCAUCUCAUCACUAAAGUCUUUUGAAGCCAUGAGCAACGAAAGUAGGUUAAAAUAUUCUAGUAAAAAAAGAAGAAUACGUAAGGAGAAAUCAAAAUGAGGUGUACCAAAAAUAUUUGGUAGUAACUGAUAUUUAAAUGAUGUCCAUUUACUGUGAUAUGUGCUUGUAAAUAUUUUUAAUAGUAAAUAUAUUCUAUUUUAGUAAAUGGUAUUUUGUGAGUUUCAGUCUUCAAUGCCCUAAUUUAUCAUCUUACGAGCUCACAGUAAAUAUUUUACAUCCAAAAAUGCUAGGAUAGAUUAUUACUUUUAAUGAUAAAAGCAGAUAAGAAUACGUAUUAUUUAAAGUCUUCAAAAAAAAACAAAAAUUUUACCAACAAUGACCUCGUCAAUAUAUAUCAACUUCCAGUUCUAUUUGCACUAGAUUUGUAUUUAAGGACAAACAGAUGACAUGCAAG
RNAcentral lists this long non-coding RNA (1036 nucleotides) under Phoenix dactylifera (date palm). Its description in RNAcentral is "long non-coding RNA (PDAC_LNC011341)". Lineage: Eukaryota; Viridiplantae; Streptophyta; Magnoliopsida; Arecales; Arecaceae. The record is from RNAcentral.